Molecule: ribosomal RNA, 234 nt
Filed under: uncultured bacterium
Lineage: Bacteria
Description: partial 16S ribosomal RNA
Rfam family: Bacterial small subunit ribosomal RNA
Source: RNAcentral
GGCGGACGGGUGAGUAACGCGUAGGAAUCUGCCUAGUAGUGGGGGACAACUUGGGGAAACCCAAGCUAAUACCGCAUAAUAUCUACGGAUGAAAGUGGAGGAUCUUCGGACUUCACGCUAUUAGAGGAGCCUGCGUUAGAUUAGCUUGUUGGUGGGGUAAAGGCCCACCAAGGCGACGAUCUAUAGCUGGUUUGAGAGGACGAUCAGCCACACUGGGACUGAGACACGGCCCAG